This 966-nucleotide small RNA is filed under the name Histoplasma ohiense. Its description in RNAcentral is "hypothetical lncRNA". Lineage: Eukaryota; Fungi; Ascomycota; Eurotiomycetes; Onygenales; Ajellomycetaceae. The record is from RNAcentral.
GCAAUCGAAUCCAUGGAGAGUUGUGAGUGAGUGUCCAUCUGGCUUCAUAACUUCAUAAGUUUCCAACUCUGGAAACUCGCGGAUGGCGCAAGAUGUUAUUGCAGGAUCAAUACCUGCGUUCAUUGACCCACUACCGGCAUCUCCACUGUUCGUAUCUUUACAGUACCACGUACGAUAUAUCAUCUAUACAGACGGUUUUCCCCCGCCAUCAGAAACAUUAGCCUGAUAUUUUUGCUGAAUUUGAUUGAUACAAAAAAUCUAACAUCCGAAUCACACCAUUCGCGUUUCACGAAAGUAUCCAACAUCCGCCACAUCCCAGUCUUCCAUCGCAUAUAAAGGUACAUGUACAUACAUCGCAAUGCAAACCCUCCAGUUAUAAUCGCUCCGCUAAAAGAAACCAUCGAUAUAUUCGUCAAAAAAAGAAACAAAAAAAAAAUCUUCAAUUGAAUUUACAUCGCUCAAGAACCAAAAUAUAUAUAUAUAUAUAUUUAUCACAAAAGAUGGAGAAAAAUUGAGAGGGGCCAAACCAACCACCCUCUCUCCACACCCCGUAAACCGGGAUACAUCGGCAGAAGUCUGGUGAUGUGACCCCGCAACUCUACCUAGAAACUCGCCGAUGGCGCACAGGAUGUAUUGCAGAGCAAUCACAUUUUCUCCUUAACCACUAACCAUACAGAUCAAAUCUCCGAUUUUUCCCCCUCAUUCUCACAAUCGCCUACCGGCAUCAGUGACCGUUAACGAAGAAUCGUAGAUGAAGAAGGUCCAGGGCCCCUUGCCCGACGCGACGUGUAGACUGUCAGAUGUUGAUGGCAUGGCCCGCCUCCACAGAUGUGCCUUGCUUCAACCAUUGACUGCAAAAUUGAAAACUUGUGAUUGUGAGCUCAACAUAUCUAUCUCUCAGGUAACUGGAACAAUCAUCUAGUGAGAGACACUCUUUUGAAUGAAUGAAGUGUAACUUAGAGAAGU